AUGGGACUGCCGGUGACAAACCGGAGGAAGUGGGGAUGACGUCAAGUCCUCAUGGCCCUUAUAGGUGGGGCUACACACGUCAUACAAUGGCCGGUACAAAGGGCAGCCAACCCGCAGGGGGAGCCAAUCCCAUAAAGCCGGUCGUAGUCCGGAUCGCAGUCUGCAACUCGACUGCGUGAAGUCGGAAUCGCUAGUAAUCGUGGAUCAGUAUGUCACGGUGAAUACGUUCCCGGGUCUU
Molecule: ribosomal RNA, 238 nt
Filed under: uncultured Hydrogenophaga sp.
Lineage: Bacteria; Pseudomonadati; Pseudomonadota; Betaproteobacteria; Burkholderiales; Comamonadaceae
Description: partial 16S ribosomal RNA
Rfam family: Bacterial small subunit ribosomal RNA
Source: RNAcentral